GGGUUGUGAGGUUAAGCGACUAAGCGUACACGGUGGAUGCCCUGGCAGUCAGAGGCGAUGAAGGACGUGCUAAUCUGCGAAAAGCGCCGGCGAGGUGAUAUGAACCUUUGACCCGGCGAUGUCCGAAUGGGGAAACCCAGUGUGUUCCGACACACUAUCGUUAACUGAAUACAUAGGUUAACGAGGCGAACCGGGGGAACUGAAACAUCUAAGUACCCCGAGGAAAAGAAAUCAACCGAGAUUCCCCCAGUAGCGGCGAGCGAACGGGGAGGAGCCCAGAGUCUGAAUCAGCGUGUGUGUUAGUGGAACGGUCUGGAAAGUCCGGCGAUACAGGGUGACAGCCCCGUACACGAAAGCACACAGGCUGUGAACUCGAAGAGUAGGGCGGGACACGUGGUAUCCUGUCUGAAUAUGGGGGGACCAUCCUCCAAGGCUAAAUACUCCUGACUGACCGAUAGUGAACCAGUACCGUGAGGGAAAGGCGAAAAGAACCCCGGCGAGGGGAGUGAAAAAGAACCUGAAACCGUGUACGUACAAGCAGUGGGAGCACCCUUUGGGGUGUGACUGCGUACCUUUUGUAUAAUGGGUCAGCGACUUAUAUUCUGUAGCAAGGUUAACCGAAUAGGGGAGCCGAAGGGAAACCGAGUCUUAACUGGGCGUUAAGUUGCAGGGUAUAGACCCGAAACCCGGUGAUCUAGCCAUGGGCAGGUUGAAGGUUGGGUAACACUAACUGGAGGACCGAACCGACUAAUGUUGAAAAAUUAGCGGAUGACCUGUGGCUGGGGGUGAAAGGCCAAUCAAACCGGGAGAUAGCUGGUUCUCCCCGAAAGCUAUUUAGGUAGCGCCUCGUGAACUCAUCUUCGGGGGUAGAGCACUGUUUCGGCUAGGGGGUCAUCCCGACUUACCAACCCGAUGCAAACUGCGAAUACCGAAGAAUGUUAUCACGGGAGACACACGGCGGGUGCUAACGUCCGUCGUGAAGAGGGAAACAACCCAGACCGCCAGCUAAGGUCCCAAAGUCAUGGUUAAGUGGGAAACGAUGUGGGAAGGCCCAGACAGCCAGGAUGUUGGCUUAGAAGCAGCCAUCAUUUAAAGAAAGCGUAAUAGCUCACUGGUCGAGUCGGCCUGCGCGGAAGAUGUAACGGGGCUAAACCAUGCACCGAAGCUGCGGCAGCGACGCUUAUGCGUUGUUGGGUAGGGGAGCGUUCUGUAAGCCGUUGAAGGUGUGCUGUGAGGCAUGCUGGAGGUAUCAGAAGUGCGAAUGCUGACAUAAGUAACGAUAAAGCGGGUGAAAAGCCCGCUCGCCGGAAGACCAAGGGUUCCUGUCCAACGUUAAUCGGGGCAGGGUGAGUCGACCCCUAAGGCGAGGCCGAAAGGCGUAGUCGAUGGGAAACAGGUUAAUAUUCCUGUACUUGGUGUUACUGCGAAGGGGGACGGAGAAGGCUAUGUUAGCCGGGCGACGGUUGUCCCGGUUUAAGCAUGUAGGCGGAGGUUCAAGGUAAAUCCGGUACCUUUUAACGCUGAGGUGUGAUGACGAGGCACUACGGUGCUGAAGUAACAAAUGCCCUGCUUCCAGGAAAAGCCUCUAAGCUCCAGGUAACACGAAAUCGUACCCCAAACCGACACAGGUGGUCAGGUAGAGAAUACCAAGGCGCUUGAGAGAACUCGGGUGAAGGAACUAGGCAAAAUGGUGCCGUAACUUCGGGAGAAGGCACGCUGACAUGUAGGUGAAGCCCCUGCGGGUGGAGCUGAAGUCAGUCGAAGAUACCAGCUGGCUGCAACUGUUUAUUAAAAACACAGCACUGUGCAAACACGAAAGUGGACGUAUACGGUGUGACGCCUGCCCGGUGCCGGAAGGUUAAUUGAUGGGGUUAUCCUUUGGGAGAAGCUCUUGAUCGAAGCCCCGGUAAACGGCGGCCGUAACUAUAACGGUCCUAAGGUAGCGAAAUUCCUUGUCGGGUAAGUUCCGACCUGCACGAAUGGCGUAAUGAUGGCCAGGCUGUCUCCACCCGAGACUCAGUGAAAUUGAACUCGCUGUGAAGAUGCAGUGUACCCGCGGCAAGACGGAAAGACCCCGUGAACCUUUACUAUAGCUUGACACUGAACAUUGAGCCUUGAUGUGUAGGAUAGGUGGGAGGCUUUGAAGCGUGGACGCCAGUCUGCGUGGAGCCAACCUUGAAAUACCACCCUUUAAUGUUUGAUGUUCUAACCUGGCGCCGUAAUCCGGCGUGGGGACAGUGUCUGGUGGGUAGUUUGACUGGGGCGGUCUCCUCCUAAAGAGUAACGGAGGAGCACGAAGGUUGGCUAAUCCUGGUCGGACAUCAGGAGGUUAGUGCAAUGGCAUAAGCCAGCUUGACUGCGAGCGUGACGGCGCGAGCAGGUGCGAAAGCAGGUCAUAGUGAUCCGGUGGUUCUGAAUGGAAGGGCCAUCGCUCAACGGAUAAAAGGUACUCCGGGGAUAACAGGCUGAUACCGCCCAAGAGUUCAUAUCGACGGCGGUGUUUGGCACCUCGAUGUCGGCUCAUCACAUCCUGGGGCUGAAGUAGGUCCCAAGGGUAUGGCUGUUCGCCAUUUAAAGUGGUACGCGAGCUGGGUUUAGAACGUCGUGAGACAGUUCGGUCCCUAUCUGCCGUGGGCGCUGGAGAAUUGAGGGGGGCUGCUCCUAGUACGAGAGGACCGGAGUGGACGCAUCACUGGUGUUCGGGUUGUCAUGCCAAUGGCAUUGCCCGGUAGCUACAUGCGGAAGAGAUAAGUGCUGAAAGCAUCUAAGCACGAAACUUGCCCCGAGAUGAGUUCUCCCUGAGACUUAGAGUCUCCUGAAGGAACGUUGAAGACGACGACGUUGAUAGGCCGGGUGUGUAAGCGCAGCGAUGCGUUGAGCUAACCGGUACUAAUGAACCGUGAGGCUUAACCUUACAACGCCGAAG
RNAcentral lists this ribosomal RNA (2926 nucleotides) under Pluralibacter gergoviae. RNAcentral describes it as "bacterial LSU rRNA". It matches the Rfam family "Bacterial large subunit ribosomal RNA". The record is from RNAcentral. Lineage: Bacteria; Pseudomonadati; Pseudomonadota; Gammaproteobacteria; Enterobacterales; Enterobacteriaceae.